RNAcentral lists this ribosomal RNA (505 nucleotides) under uncultured bacterium. Its description in RNAcentral is "partial 16S ribosomal RNA". It matches the Rfam family "Bacterial small subunit ribosomal RNA", at positions 28 to 507 of the family's 1533-position model. The record is from RNAcentral.
GACGAACGCUGGCGGCGUGCCUAAUACAUGCAAGUAGAACGCACAGUUUAUACCGUAGCUUGCUACGCCAUAGACUGUGAGUUGCGAACGGGUGAGUGACGCGUAGGUAACCUGCCUGGUAGCGGGGGAUAACUAUUGGAAACGAUAGCUAAUACCGCAUAAUAUUGAUUAUUGCAUGAUAAUUGAUUGAAAGAUGCUAUUGCAUCACUACCAGAUGGACCUGCGUUGUAUUAGCUAGUAGGUGAGGUAACGGCUCACCUAGGCGACGAUACAUAGCCGACCGGGGAGGGUGAUCGGCCACACUGGGACUGAGACCCGGCCCAGACUCCUACGGGAGGCAGCAGUAGGGAAUCUUCGGCAAUGGACGAAAGUCUGACCGAGCAACGCCGCGUGAGUGAAGAAGGUUUUCGGAUCGUAAAGCUCUGUUGUAAGAGAAGAACGGGUGUGAGAGUGGAAAGUUCACACUGUGACGGUAUCUUACCAGAAAGGGACGGCUAACUACGUG